GCAGAACCUCACAUCACCUGUCAUAUAUUCUCAGAAAUAAGGUCUGAGAGUUUCUACAGGGAGACCGUAAAUCUCCCAACUAUGGCGGGAAACACAGAUUGG
This 102-nucleotide non-coding RNA is filed under the name Novibacillus thermophilus. Its description in RNAcentral is "Guanine sequence". It matches the Rfam family "Purine riboswitch aptamer". From Rfam's summary of the family: Riboswitches are metabolite binding domains within certain messenger RNAs that serve as precision sensors for their corresponding targets. Allosteric rearrangement of mRNA structure is mediated by ligand binding, and this results in modulation of gene expression. The record is from Rfam by way of RNAcentral. Lineage: Bacteria; Bacillati; Bacillota; Bacilli; Caryophanales; Thermoactinomycetaceae.